This 6185-nucleotide long non-coding RNA is filed under the name Musa acuminata (dwarf banana). Lineage: Eukaryota; Viridiplantae; Streptophyta; Magnoliopsida; Zingiberales; Musaceae. The record is from RNAcentral.
CAAACGCCGCCGCCACCUCCGCGAGGAAAACCCUAAUUCUUGGUCUAUAUAAAUAAGGGAUUCAUGAGAGACGAACGUUGUCCUCGGGUUUCCUGUGAUCUUGUUUGGUUUCGCCAGCGUCUUUUGGUUUCCUCUCGCGGAAGCUCUGUAUAAGAUUUAGAGAUUUUGCUUGUCUCUCCAUCAAAGUGGAGGUUGCUGUGACGAAUCUGGAAAAUUCAAGCUCAACAGACCGGAUCGCAGGUCUCGCUUUCUGGAGGGAUUUGUAUGUCGACUGCCCCGCUGAACUGAACAAGCUCCCACAUUCCUUUUUGUUUUCAUUCGUGAUUUCUCAAAAAUCUAUAUUUUCAUCUAUUUGAUGCGGCUUUUUGUGUUCUUACGUCUAUGUAAUUAUCCCUCUUUGGUGCCCGAGGCAGAGGGUGGCUGAUUUCUUGCGAGUUGUUUCCUUUUUCGUCAAAAAAGAUUUUUCAAAAUCUAUAUUUUAGCCGAUUUUGUGUUAUACAUCACUAUUUCUCGGAGAUUUGUGCGUCGAAUAAAAGAAGAUCAAACCUUCCUUUAUUGAGUUUUGAUACGGCGGUAAAACUCGCAGCUCUUUACGGUUUCAUGUUGUUGUUGUUGUUUGAUAAAUCGGAUUGUAGAUCUCCCUCUCAUUGAUUGAGGGAUUUUGGUCGGCUUUGACGCGUUUUGUUACUUAGCUUUCUCUCAUGAAGAUAACAGAGCUCCCUCUUCGGAAAUGCGACUUUGAGGACGCUCGCUGGCAGAGUCGAACCAUUAUUUAAAAUCGCCAUCACUGAGACUUUCAUGUUUUAUUUAUUUUUUAAGAUCUAUUUAAUCUGUUUGAUAAAUUAUAAUUAUUUUGAUGGAAAAAUGGUACGUCUUUUUACACUUUUUUUCUUUCAGCUAAAUGUUCGAAUCAUUUGCAACCUAAAAGAUAGUGAUGAAGUAAAAAGAUCUAUAUCCAACACUUGAUCUGAGGAUCAAAGAUUCCACUGAUGUAACAUUUCUUUUGCUUCUGAAUCUGAAUCUACUUGCUUUUGUCACUUUGAUUUCAAUGGAGAAGUUUGUUUUUUUAUCACAAUUUUGAUCUGUGGAAGUAUUUGUGCAAUGCGUCAGAUGAUGAAAGUUUGAAGUGUAAUCUUAGGACACCUUCCUACACUGCCCAAGAUUUCCUUGGGUUGUGGAUGAGAAAAACAUGUUCAAUCUGAUGAUGGUCAUGGCCUUCCGAAACACUUUUAAUUGAUUAUAUAUCUACGUUUUGCACUAUACGCUUCUUGAAUCAAUAUUGUUAAUAAUAUAUUCGGAAAUGAGGCUGUUUGUAUUCACGUGCAUAAAGCAGAUAUUUAUUCAGUAUCUGUUUGAUGUCCACAUUUUUGUAGAGAUAUUAUGAUCCUUUGCAAUUGUCAUUUUUUAAUCAAAAACCUCGUAUAACAAUUUCUGAUGUGCCUUACUCUAAAAAUUUGCAUGCUGGUCUUCUUUACUCGUCUGAACUAGGAUGUUUAGAAAAGUUGUAUGUGUCGGCUUAUGAUGAUAUGCUUAUAAAAGUUGGAAUUACCGACUGAUAAACCUAUUGUAUGAUGUCAAUUGAUCUGGCUGUCUGAGGCUGAUACUAUUAUCCAGCAUUGUAUUAUGAAGUCUUUAUUCUUCUUUGUACAUGGAGUAUUAUUUUUUCUUUGGUUUUCUCACAAAGGAUAAAGAAUUGCAUACACAAAGCAAUGCUUAUGUUUUUGGUUGUUGUAGCUUGUCACUGUGAAAUAUUUUGGCAGUCUAAUAUGUAGAAAUUUUAUUCAUGUUAUUUUAAUUGAUGUUUUAUUUGUCAUGCUUUAAAUUGUGAAUUGGAGAAAGUUUUUAAUUAUUUAGUAGGUAUCAAUUCUGAAGAGUUUAUGGAUCCCAAUGAAGAUGAAAUGGCCUCUUGAUAGGAAGUGCCGUAUGACACUUGUAAUGCAGUUGCCUGUCCAGUCCUUGGCUCUUUCUCCUCUUGACCAUGCCUCCCUCAAAUCCUACCAUAGGUUUGAGUUUCCGGGGUGUUGUUCAAAGGGGAAUUUGAAGUUCAAUGGACUUGGAGUUCAGCUGUGUGUGUGAUUUUAAAUCGGUCACUGAGGGCUCUUUUAACCUGUUGAAAGUUACUCCACUUUCAUUGGUUUUGAAUAUCCUUUCUUUGGCAUUUUGCAUGUUGAUAGGAAUCUGUGGUCAAGAUCACUGUCCAUCCAUGGAGUUGAUUUCUGUGAUCACAGAUAGUGAAUGUUUUCUGUCAUUUGUUAUUUUAGAAUGCUGUUUUCUAUAUGGUCUAGGCAAUGCCAUUUGUUUUAUCUGUUAUGCAACUCGUUAUUGUUGUUAUAUUUGAUAGUCGGCUAUGCCAUGCAACUCUUAUUGUUCAUGUUUUUGUCAUAUCCCAUUAUCUUAUAAGCUACUGGUCUUGUAGCAAACCUAAAGCUUUACAGAGAUAAAAGUAAGUAGGAAUUAGUGGAUUCCCAUUUGCAUGAUGAUGGCUUACCUGGUCAUUGUUAGUUCAGAGAUAAAAAAAACAGUAAAGGUUUUUUAUGAAGGCUUUACAGAGAUAAACCUAAAGCUUUACAGAGAUAAAACCUAAAGGUUUUUUAAGGUUCAGAGAUAAACCUAAAGCUUUACAGUGGUAAAAGCUUUACAGAGAUAAAAAAAACAGUAUUAUGAAGGCUUACCUGGUCAGAGAUAAACCUAAAGCUUUACAGAGAUAAAACCUAAAGGUUUUUUAAGGUUCAGAGAUAAACCUAAAGCUUUACAGUGGUAAAAGCUUUACAGAGAUAAAAAAACAGUAUUAUGAAGGCUUACCUGGUCAUCGUUAGUUCUAUCAAAUGUUGGUUCAACUCUUAUUGCAUGUCUCUGUAACUGAUAUUUUAGUUUACUGUCAUUUGACUAUAAGGGUUGAAAUGUUCAAUUUUUAUUGACAUUAAUACCCUUUAGAACUUUGUCAAAUGAUCACUCUGUUUAAACUCCAAUAAUUUCUUAUCAGAUCAUAGAACUCUUAAUUCUUUCUAUUAUUGGUUUGAGUUCAUUGAUACUUCUGGGAUGAAGAAACUGUAUCCUGCAAGUGACGACAAGAUAGACAGGGACAUCUAACUCUUUACAGAGAAUGAUGACUUGGUCUAUGGGAAUCUCUCUGAUGCAUGAGACUGUUUUCUCCCCUGUCUAUUCUGUAUUUUGUGACUGUUUUUCUUCGAUGGCAUGAUGCUUUUUUGGUGCAUCUAUUCAAUAGGCAAUUGUAAUUGUAUCAUAUAAGUUCUGCCUGUGAUGCACAAAAAGUGCACGUAUUAUCAGAGGUGAUUAUGACUUUUUUUUCUCCUUUUGACCAUGCCUCCCUCAAAUCCUACCAUAGGUUUGAGUUUCCGUGGGCGUGUUCAAAGGUGAAUUUGAAGUUCAAUGGACUUGGAGUUUGGCUGUGUGUGUGAUUUUAAAUGGGUCACUGACGGCUCUUUUAACCUGACCAAACUUAAUCUGCUUUCAUUGGUUUUGAAUAUCCUUUCUUUUCUAAGGUGUGUUUUUUUAACUUUGUGGUCUGAAGCCAUGUCAACAGUAGCAUAUGCAUUGACUGGUGGUGCUAUGAUCGGGCCCAAAUUAAGUCCUGAUUUGGCAUGUUGCAUGUUGAUAGGUAUCUGUGGACAAUCACUGUUCACCCAUGGAGCUGAUUUUGUGAUCGCAGAUAGUGAAAGUUUUCCGUCAUUUGUUAUUUUAGAAUGCUGUUUUUUUUAUAGUCAGGCAAUGCCAUUUGUUUUAUCUGUUAUGCAACUUGUUACUGUUGUUAUAUUUGAUAGCCCGCUAUGCCAUGCAACUCUUAUUGUUCAUGUUUUUGUCAUAUCCCAUUGUCUUAUAAGCUACUGGUCUCGUAGCAAACCUAAAGUUUUAAAGAGCUAAAAGUAAUUAGGAAUUAGUGGAUUACCAUUUGUAGAAAUUAUCCUGCAUGUUUGUAUUUGAUUUGCUGAUAUUCAGGAAUUGGGCUUACCAGGUCAUUGUUAGUUCUAUCAAAUGUUGGUUCAACUCUUAUUGUGUGUAAACUCUUUAGAACUUUGUCAUUAUGAUCACUCUGUGUAAUGUUAAAUUUUUAUUGAGAUUAAAAACCCUUUAGAACUUUGUCAAAUGAUCACUCUGUGUAAACUCCAAUAAUUUCUUAUCAGAUCAUAAGAACUCUUAAUUCUUUCUAUUAUUGGUUUUUGAGUUCAUUGAUACGUCUGGGAUGAGAAACCGUAUCCUGCAAGUGAUGACAAGAUAGACAGGGACUCGGCACUCUUUACAGAGAAUGAUGACUUGGUCUAUGGGAAUCUAUCUGAUGCACAAGAUUGUUUUCUCCCCUUAGUCUAUUAUAUAUUUUUUGACUAUUUUUCUUCUACAGCAUGAUGUUUUUUGGGUGCAUCUAUUCGAUAUGCAAUUGUAAUUGUAUCAUAUAAGUUCUGCCCGUGAUGCACAAAAAAUGCACGUAUUAUCAGAGAUGUUGUGAUGAUAUAUUAGUUGUCACUACCGCUGAGGCAGUCAAUUUGAAGUGAUGCUAUUGCAUCUCUAGUUCAUUACUUCCUUUUUUGUUGGUUUGUUUGUUUGUUGAUCUGAGCUAGUAUGCAUUGAUCAUUUGAAUGAUAACUUGGUUCAUGCAUUGUCUUAACUAUGCAAAAAUUGUUUUUGUAAAACACUGUGACAAUGAAGUAUUAUUUUUGUAUAACACCCUGUCAUCUUUCAAGAUUCCACUACCUUAUAUAUGCGAUGUUCAUUUUAAUGUUCUGUGAAACUUUUGAUUUUAGGAUCUAAUCCACUUUUUAAACUCGUAGUACCUGAUUGGUUCAUGCAAGACUUGUGUCUUGCAUUUUCCUGUGAAUGAUUAGUGCCUAUGAUGGUUUUAAAUAUACUACGAGUGACUACAAUGAUAAGGACUUUAUCUGAGGCACAAUCAUCUGGUUUCACUUAUUUUUAUAGGUUAUUUGUAUUUUAAAUGUUUGUCUUUGUAAUAUGAGUAAUUUAGUUGGUGUUGUAUCUGCAAACGAACUUUCGAUGUGGGUUUUUCGUUCGGGAGCAUGUGGCAGGGUUCCUCAAGUUUUUAGUUUCAAUGCCUAAUUCUUCUGCCAUUAUUCUAGACCAAAUUAGUGUCUUACAGUCAUGCAAAUUAUUUGCAAUCCUUGUUUUAUCAUUUAAAUGUGUUUUAUUAUUUUUCCUUUUUUAUAUUUUUCGUGGAAGGAUUUCAUAGGGCCGCUUAACUUAGUAGGAUGGUUUCUUUGAAUGUUUGAAAUGUUCAUAUUUGUUAUUAUGACAUGAAUUUUUAAUGCUGAUUAUAAAAUUUGGCUCAGAUCUUGGUUAAGUGCCAAUUGCCAAGCACAAUGUCAUCCAGAUUUGGGAUCAACCACUAGGACUUGUUUCAAAGCUGGUGUGUUCACAAAGCAGAGAUUCUGGAGUUAUGUUGGCGCUGCUUUUAUCAAAAGAUUGUCAUAAAUAUCUAAAUUCAUGAUAGUAAUUUAUUUUGCUUUACAGUUUUAUGUUGACAUCUAUUUGUUUAAUGUAUUUUACAGCUAAACGAUCUUUGAAUAAGAAACUUGUGAAUAAAUUUAAAAUUUCUCAAAUAAUAAUUUUACUAAUAAUAUUUAGCUAUCUAUAACAAUAUGAAUGGGUCACACUUAUCCAAGAUGACAAAUGUUUAUAUGUUUUGUGUUUAUCAUCAUAUGAACGCUUAAGACAAAUUUUCUGAUAUAUGGAUUUUUCUAUAAAUUUUGGGUUUUGUGAUGUUAACUUGCAAUAAUAACCAAAAUUUAUCUAAUGCCAAUUGAAAUAUCUCCAUUUAUAUCGUCCGUGGUUUGACAACUGAUGUGUUGAGUUGAGAUUUAAUGUGGUGUUUAUUUUUAUUAGUUGGAAUUGAUAUUGGGAUGUUCAUAUGCAAGGUAUCAUCAUCAGCUGCUAACUUGUGAUCCAGCGUUGGCAUGAGUCAAUUGACAAAGUCAACCCAAAAGUUGAUUGAAGCUGAUAUUUAAGGAAAAUAAUGUCGGUAUAAUAGCAUUAUAGGUAUAUGUACUCUAUGGGGAGUAUGAGGUGAGAUCUUUGUACAUUGUAUCUAUCCUUAUAUAAAUGCACGUCAUUACAUCUUAACAUUUAAAUAUUCCACUUGAUUAUUACCAUUUUUAAUUUCUUAGCCAGGUAAAUAGAUAUAACAUGCCAAAUAACAACCCUUCUCAUGUUUGUGAAAG